Molecule: ribosomal RNA, 274 nt
Filed under: uncultured bacterium
Lineage: Bacteria
Description: partial 16S ribosomal RNA
Rfam family: Bacterial small subunit ribosomal RNA
Source: RNAcentral
AUACAGAGGGUGCAAGCGUUAAUCGGAAUUACUGGGCGUAAAGCGCGCGUUGGCGGUUUAAUCAGUCGGAUGUGAAAGCCCCGGGCUCAACCUGGGAACUGCAUUCGAUACUGUUAAGCUAGAGUAUGGUAGAGGGAAGUGGAAUUCCAGGUGUAGCGGUGAAAUGCGUAGAUAUCUGGAGGAACAUCAGUGGCGAAGGCGACUUCCUGGACCAAUACUGACGCUGAGGUGCGAAAGCGUGGGGAGCAAACAGGAUUAGAAACCCUAGUAGUCC